RNAcentral lists this ribosomal RNA (253 nucleotides) under uncultured bacterium. Its description in RNAcentral is "partial 16S ribosomal RNA". It matches the Rfam family "Bacterial small subunit ribosomal RNA", at positions 524 to 776 of the family's 1533-position model. The record is from RNAcentral.
GACAGAGGGUGCAAACGUUGUUCGGAAUUACUGGGCGUAAAGGGCGCGUAGGCGGCCUUCUAAGUCAUGCGUGAAAUCCCCGGGCUCAACCCGGGAACUGCGUCUGAUACUGGAAGGCUCGAAUCCGGGAGAGGGAUGUGGAAUUCCAGGUGUAGCGGUGAAAUGCGUAGAUAUCUGGAGGAACACCGGUGGCGAAGGCGGCAUCCUGGACCAACACUGACGCUGAGGAGCGAAAGCCAGGGGAGCAAACGGG